AAGGAGAAAAGGGCGUUUGGUGGAUCCCUUUGGGCCCCAAAGGGGGCGAUGAAGGACGUGAUACUCUCCCGAUGGCUGGGGGGAGCUGAAAAAAAAAGUUUUGAUCCGUAGAUCUCCGAAUGGGGAAACCCACUUUUAUGAGGGGUUUUUUACCCACCCAAAAGGGGGUGAUAAAUUUACAAAAAUUUUUAAAAAAUACUUUUAACUUGAAUAUAUAAAGUUUUAAGAGGGGCCCCCAGAGAACUGAAACAUCUAAGUCCCGGGAGGAAAGGAAACAACAGAUACUCCGUUAGUAGGGGAAAAACAAACCCGGGAUCAGCCCCCCGUAAGCAGAAUCGAGGGGAAAAAGCCCGAGCUAUAAAAACAGCCCCGUAUGCAAUGCAAAGGAUGUAUUAAAGGGGGGGACACGUGAAAUCCUGUCUGAACAUCGGAGGAAACCCUUUGAAGGCUAAGUACUACUUAUUGACCGAUAGCGGAGGGACCGUGAGGGGAAAAGGGGAAAAAACCCCGACGGGGGGGGGAAAUAGACCCGCCGGACGCCUGGAACCCGGGGCUUCCUUUAGGGAAAUGACGGGUACCUUUUGUAUAAUGGGUCAACGACUUGGGUCUAUCUAGCAAGCUUAAGCCGUUAGGUGUAGGCAUGGGGAAAACGAAAAACUUAAUGGGGGGCUUUAGUUUUUGAUGGAUCAGACCCGAAACCCGGGAUCUAGGCAUGGCCGGGAUGAAGGUGCGGGAACACGCACUGGGGGUCCGAACCCCCAUACGUUGAAAAGUAUCGGGUGAGCUGCCUAGGGGGGGAAAGGGCCCAAACAAACUGAGUAUUUUGGGUUUUCCAAGAAAUCUAUUUAGGUAGAGCGUUAACGAAUACCCCGGGGGGAGAGCACUGGAUGGGUAAUGGGGCCCCACAGGCUUUCUUUAUCCUAACCAAACUCCGAAUACCGGGGUAAUAUCUGGGAGACACAAAGGGGGAUGCUAACGUCCGGGGGGAGGGAAACAACCCCGACCUCCGGGUAAGGCCCCCAAUUCAUGGCUAAGUGGGAAAACAUGUGGGGGACCAAAAAAACCCGGGGUGUUGGCCAAAAGGGAAACAGCCAUCAUUUAAAAAAAAAGCCCUAACAGCUCACUGGUCUAGAUAAGUUGUCUUGCGGCGAAGAUGUAACGGGGUCAAGCCAUGAGCCGAAGCGGGGCACCGUGGGGGUGGUGCGGGGCGUUCCGUGAUAUAACUUUUUCGAUUUCUAAAGCAAUAAUUUGUUUAUUAGUCGGGGUGAGGGGUUUCUGUGGAAAAAAGGGGUGUAAAAGGGAUCCGGUGGGAGAUCGGAAGUGAGAAUGUUGACAUGGGUAGCGAUAAACAGGGUGGGGAGACCCUGUCGCCGAAAUCCCAAAGGGGUUUCCCGCCAAAGCUAAUCUGAGCGGGGAAGCCGACCCGGGGAGGGCCGAAAAAGGCGAUGGGGCCGGUUAAUAUUCCCGGGCCCGAAGGAUGUGACGGACACAAGUGUAGUAAGUUCUUAUUGGAUUGAACUUGCUGCUGGUGGGUUUUGAAAUAGCCCUUCAUUAAAGGGGUCGUACCCUAAACCAACACAGGGGGACAGUAGAGCAUACCAAGGGGGGCUUGGGGAGGAAGCAUUGGGAAAGGGAAAUCGGCAAAAUACCUCCCAAUUUUGCGGGGAAGGAGGCCCCAUUGGCAACUUGGGAGGGGGCACAAACCAGGGUUGGGGCUGUUUCAAAAAAAACAGGGUUUUUGCGAAGCCGCCAAAGGGGAUGUUUUAGGGUUUUGACGCCUGCCCGGUGCCGGAAGGGGUUUAAAAGGGGGGGGUGCAAGCACCGGAAUUUAAGCCCCCCAAAAAGGCGGCCCCUAACUAAACGGUCCCAAAGGAAACGAAACCGUCGGGGAAAAUUUCCCACCUGCACGAAUGGCGUAACGGCCCCCCCGUCUCCAAAAGCGGGCUCAGCCCUUUAAUUUCCCCUGAAGAUGCGGGGGACCCGCGGGCGACGGGAAAAACCCCGUGCACCUUUUCUAAGCUUCACACUGGCAUUGGGGGUUUGUCAUGUGCAGGGGUGGUAGGCUUUUAAGCAGAAACGCUAGUUUUUGUGGGCCGCCCUUGAGAUACCACUCUUUUACUCACUUAUUUCCCCCCCGCGAUCCGUUUCCGGAUCCGGGGCCGGGGUGGUGGGGGGAGUUUGACUGGGGCGGUCGCCUCCCCAAAAAAGGGAACAGGCGCGCGGGAAAGGGGGGCCCCAGAUUGGUCGGAAAUCAAUCGUAGGUGCAAGGGAGAAGCCCGCCUGACUGCGAGACUGACAAGUCGGGGGAAAGAACGGGCCGCCGAAAGGUCCGGGGGUCCCGCGUGGAAGGGGGGAUCGCUCAACAAAAAAAGGUACGCCGGGGAUAACAGGCUGAUACUGCCCAAAAGGGCCAUAUCGACGGCAGUGUUUGGCACCCUCGAUUGGGUCUCACAUCCCGGGUGGAGCAGGGGGCCCAAGGGGGGUUUGGCUGUUCGCCGAUUAAAGUGGUACGUGGACGGGGGUUUUGAACGUCGUGAGACAUUUUGGUCCCUAUCUGCCGUGGGUGUUUGGGGACUUUGGGGGAGCUGCCCCCUUUUGUACGGGAGGACCGGGGUGGACAUACCACUUUUGGGGGACCUUUGUCGUGCCAACGGCAGGGAGGGUAGCUACGUAUGGACAGGAUAAACCCCUGAAAGCAUCUAAGCCGGGGAAACCCCCCCAAAACAAGGUCUCCUUGAGGGGCCCUGGAAGACCACCACGUCGAUAAAUUUUUGGGUAUGUAAGCAUUCAAUAUGUUCAGUUUACCAGUCCCAAACGCCCGAUUGGCUUGAU
RNAcentral lists this ribosomal RNA (2832 nucleotides) under Fidelibacterota bacterium. Its description in RNAcentral is "Candidatus Marinimicrobia bacterium 23S ribosomal RNA". It matches the Rfam family "Bacterial large subunit ribosomal RNA". Lineage: Bacteria; Pseudomonadati; Fidelibacterota. The record is from RNAcentral.